RNAcentral lists this ribosomal RNA (440 nucleotides) under uncultured bacterium. Its description in RNAcentral is "partial 16S ribosomal RNA". It matches the Rfam family "Bacterial small subunit ribosomal RNA", at positions 338 to 795 of the family's 1533-position model. The record is from RNAcentral.
CCUACGGGGGGCAGCAGUGGGGAAUAUUGCACAAUGGGGGAAACCCUGAUGCAGCGACGCCGCGUGAGUGAAGAAGUAUUUCGGUACGUAAAGCUCUAUCAGCAGGGAAGAAAAUGACGGUACCUGACUAAGAAGCCCCGGCUAACUACGGGCCAGCAGCCGCGGUAAUACGUAGGGGGCAACCGUUCUCCGGAUUUACUGGGUGUAAAGGGAGCGUAGAUGGCAGCGCAAGUCUGAAGUGAAAUCCCAGGGCUUAACCAUGGAACUGCUUUGGAACCUUUGCAGCUGGAGUUCAGGAGUGGUAAGCGUAAUUCCUAGGGUAGCGGUGACAGGCGUAGAUAGUAGGAGGAACACCAGUGGCGAAGGCGGCUUACUGGACUGUAACUGACGUUGAGGCUCGAAAGCGUGGGGAGCAAACAGGAUUAGAGACCCUUGUAGUC